RNAcentral lists this ribosomal RNA (394 nucleotides) under uncultured bacterium. RNAcentral describes it as "bacterial SSU rRNA". It matches the Rfam family "Bacterial small subunit ribosomal RNA", at positions 355 to 766 of the family's 1533-position model. The record is from RNAcentral.
UGGGGAAUCUUGGACAAUGGGGGCAACCCUGAUCCAGCCAUGCCGCGUGAGUGAUGAAGGCCUUAGGGUUGUAAAGCUCUUUCAACGGUGAAGAUAAUGACGGUAACCGUAGAAGAAGCCCCGGCUAACUUCGUGCCAGCAGCCGCGGUAAUACGAAGGGGGCUAGCGUUGUUCGGAUUUACUGGGCGUAAAGCGCACGUAGGCGGAUCGUUAAGUGAGGGGUGAAAUCCCAGGGCUCAACCCUGGAACUGCCUUUCAUACUGGCGAUCUGGAGUUCGAGAGAGGUGAGUGGAAUUCCGAGUGUAGAGGUGAAAUUCGUAGAUAUUUGGAGGAACACCAGUGGCGAAGGCGGCUCACUGGCUCGAUACUGACGCUGAGGUGCGAAAGUGUGGGG